CUACCCUUAGGCCUGGGAUAACCCCGAGAAAUCGGGGCUAAUACCGGAUGAUGCAGCGGCACCACAUGGUGAUGUUGUUAAAGUCUAUAUGGCGUCUAGGGAUGAGCUUGCGUCUGAUUAGCUUGUUGGUGAGGUAACGGCUUACCAAGGCUACGAUCAGUAGCUGGUCUGAGAGGAUGAUCAGCCACACUGGAACUGAGACACGGUCCAG
Molecule: ribosomal RNA, 211 nt
Filed under: uncultured bacterium
Lineage: Bacteria
Description: partial 16S ribosomal RNA
Rfam family: Bacterial small subunit ribosomal RNA
Source: RNAcentral